This 459-nucleotide ribosomal RNA is filed under the name uncultured bacterium. Its description in RNAcentral is "partial 16S ribosomal RNA". It matches the Rfam family "Bacterial small subunit ribosomal RNA", at positions 338 to 795 of the family's 1533-position model. The record is from RNAcentral.
CCUACUGGAUGCUGCAGUGAGGAAUAUUGGUCAAUGUCCUGAAGGCUGAACCAGCCAAGCCGCGUGAAGGACGCAGGUGCCAAGCCUUGUAAACUUCUUUUGUCAAGGGACAAAAUCAGACUCGAGAGCCUUAACGAGGUUACUUGAAUAAAAAACAUCGUCUAAGUCCGUGCCCGCAGCCGCGGUAAUACGGAGGAUGCCAGCGUUAUCCUGAUUUAUUGGGUUUAAAGGGUGCGUGGGCGGGCUGUUAAGUCAGCGGUAAACGCCAGGGGCUCAACCCUGGAGAGCCGUUGAAACUGGCUGUCUUGAGAUGUCGAGAGGUAUGCGGAAUGCGCAGUGUAGCGGUGAAAUGCUUAGAUAUUGCGAAGAACUCCGAUUGCGAAGGCAGCAUACCGGCGGCGAUCUGACGCUGAGGCACGAAAGCGUGGGUAUCGAACAGGAUUAGAUACCCGAGUAGUC